GGAGACGUGGGUGAGUGGCUGAAACCAACGGUUUGCUAAACCGUCGUAGGGUGUUUAACCUUACCGAGGGUUCGAAUCCCUCCGUCUCCGCCA
RNAcentral lists this transfer RNA (93 nucleotides) under Novosphingobium sp. PASSN1. RNAcentral describes it as "tRNA-Ser". It matches the Rfam family "tRNA". Rfam says of the family: Transfer RNA (tRNA) molecules are approximately 80 nucleotides in length. Their secondary structure includes four short double-helical elements and three loops (D, anti-codon, and T loops). The record is from RNAcentral. Lineage: Bacteria; Pseudomonadati; Pseudomonadota; Alphaproteobacteria; Sphingomonadales; Sphingomonadaceae.